RNAcentral lists this ribosomal RNA (212 nucleotides) under uncultured bacterium. RNAcentral's name for it is "partial 16S ribosomal RNA". It matches the Rfam family "Bacterial small subunit ribosomal RNA", at positions 524 to 735 of the family's 1533-position model. The record is from RNAcentral.
UACGUAGGGUGCGAGCGUUGUCCGGAAUUAUUGGGCGUAAAGAGCUUGUAGGUGGUUUGUCGCGUCUGCUGUGAAAAUCCGAGGCUCAACCUCGGACUUGCAGUGGGUACGGGCAGACUAGAGUGUGGUAGGGGAGACUGGAAUUCCUGGUGUAGCGGUGGAAUGCGCAGAUAUCAGGAGGAACACCGAUGGCGAAGGCAGGUCUCUGGGCC